AGAGUUUGAUCCUGGCUCAGGAUGAACGCUGGCGGCGUGCCUAAUACAUGCAAGUCGAACGGAGAACAUCGUAGCAAUACUUUGUUCUUAGUGGCGAACGGGUGAGUAACGCGUUGGUGACCUGCCCCAAAGCGGGGGAUAACAGUCCGAAAGGACUGCUAAUACCCCAUGUGGUCUCAGGGAUUAGAUGCCCUGAGUCUAAAGGAGUAAUCCACUUUGGGAGGGACCUGCGUCCCAUCAGCUAGUUGGUAAGGUAACGGCCUACCAAGGCUUCGACGGGUAGGGGACCUGAGAGGGUGGCCCCCCACAAUGGAACUGAAACACGGUCCAUACACCUACGGGUGGCAGCAGUAGGGAAUAUUGGUAAUGGGCGAAAGCCCGAACCAGCAACGCCGCGUGUGCGAUGAAGGCCUUCGGGUCGUAAAGCACUUUUUGAGAAGAUGAUACAAGACAGUACUCUCAGAAUAAGUCUCGGCUAACUACGUGCCAGCAGCAGCGGUAACACGUAGGAGACAAGCGUUAUCCGGAUUUACUGGGCGUAAAGCGCGUGCAGGCGGUUUGGAAAGUUGGAUGUGAAAGCUCCUGGCUUAACUGGGAGAGGUCAUUCAAAACUACCAGACUUGAGAGUGGUAGAGGAAGGUGGAAUUCCGGGUGUAGUGGUGAAAUGCGUAGAUAUCCGGAGGAACACCAGUGGCGAAAGCGGCCUUCUGGACCAUUUCUGACGCUCAGACGCGAAAGCUAGGGUAGCAAACGGGAUUAGAGACCCCGGUAGUCCUAGCCGUAAACUAUGUUGACUUGGCGUUGGUGGGUUAAUAUCCGCCAGUGCCGUAGCUAACGCGAUAAGUCAACCGCCUGGGGACUACGAUCGCAAGAUUAAAACUCAAAGGAAUUGACGG
This 896-nucleotide ribosomal RNA is filed under the name uncultured bacterium. RNAcentral describes it as "bacterial SSU rRNA". It matches the Rfam family "Bacterial small subunit ribosomal RNA", at positions 8 to 916 of the family's 1533-position model. The record is from RNAcentral.